GGAGUUUGGGCCGUGUCUCAGUCCCAAUGUGGCCGGUCACCCUCUCAGGUCGGCUACUGAUCGUCGCCUUGGUGGGCCGUUACCUCACCAACUAGCUAAUCAGACGCGGGUCCAUCUUAUACCGAAAAACUUUUCGCACUGCAUCAUGCGAUGCUGUGCGCUUAUGCGGUAUUAGCAGUCGUUUCCAACUGUUAUCCCCCUGUACAAGGUAGGUUACCCACGCGUUACUCACCCGUCCGCCACUCAGUCAACAAAUCGUCACCCCGAAGGGAUCGUAAUAAGUUGCUUCGUUCGACUUGCAUGUGUUAAGCACGCCGCCAGCGUUCAUC
Molecule: ribosomal RNA, 329 nt
Filed under: uncultured Pseudobutyrivibrio sp.
Lineage: Bacteria; Bacillati; Bacillota; Clostridia; Lachnospirales; Lachnospiraceae
Description: partial 16S ribosomal RNA
Source: RNAcentral